UUUUUGCACCAGCUCCAUCUUCUAAGUUAAAUACUUUUUGAACAACGCCCUUACCAAAAGAUUGGGUGCCAAUAACUUUUGCUCGUCCGCGAUCUUUCAUAGCUCCAGCUAAAAUUUCACUAGCAGAUGCUGAAUUUUCGUUUUGUAAAACAACCAUAGGUAUAUCACUAGCAUUUGCAUCAGAUUUUUCUGUUGCAACAUUGCCUUUUUUAUCUUUUGUAGUUACUAUUACACCUUCAUCUAAGAAGUUAUCAGCUAUAUUUAUAACUACAUCUAAGGCUCCACCUGGAUUAUUCC
Molecule: non-coding RNA, 297 nt
Filed under: Anaerococcus octavius
Lineage: Bacteria; Bacillati; Bacillota; Tissierellia; Tissierellales; Peptoniphilaceae
Source: RNAcentral